Molecule: ribosomal RNA, 253 nt
Filed under: uncultured bacterium
Lineage: Bacteria
Description: partial 16S ribosomal RNA
Rfam family: Bacterial small subunit ribosomal RNA
Source: RNAcentral
UACGUAGGCAGCGAGCGUUGUUCGGAGUUACUGGGCGUAAAGAGCGCGUAGGCGGUUUUCUAAGUUUGGUGUGAAAUCUCCCGGCUCAACUGGGAGGGUGCGCCGAAGACUGGAAGGCUUGAGUAUGGGAGAGGUAAGCGGAAUUCCUGGUGUAGCGGUGAAAUGCGUAGAUAUCAGGAGGAACACCUGCGGUGUAGGCGGCUUACUGGACCAUAACUGACGCUGAGGCACGAAAGCGUGGGUAGCAAACAGG